UCUGGUCCCAGGAUGACGUCAAAACAGUGUCGCGCUUGCUAAAUAUAGCAUUACUUUUUAUAUCAUGCCACUUUAAAGCCCAUAGAUAUAUCCGGCACUCGUUAUGAAGCACCGAAGAAGAAAUUAAGAAAUAGUCCAGGUGGUAGCAUGCAUUUUAAAGAUCAAGACAAUGUGUUCAUUCUGUUGUCAGCUGUUACCUAGCAUUAGCAUCUGGCUAGCAAUUACGUGUCAGACAUUAGCAAGCUAGCCAAACUUACCGUGACAUCCGUCAAGUGUGAAAGCAGGCGCGUGGUUGGCAGCAGCCUUGUUGUUCAAACUGAACGAAAAGAUGAAAACACCGAUUGCCGCGACAUGACGCGCCUCUCUUGGGACUUGAAAACUGGAUGAGCUUUCAUGCACCUGCUAGCGACGUGUUGCUCCGCUGUAUCCUUGCACCUUUCAACGCUUGUUUCACCACAGCCAUUUCGAGGAAGUAGUUCCACAUCCCGGAACAGACAGGUCUCGGUGACAGUAUUCUUCCGCGCAGCAAGAGAAAAAUAAACCGAUCCAGCGAUAGAAAUGGCGAACCAAGAUGACGUCUACUGUUCUGACUAUAAUAACCAGAGACCGCCUGGAGGGAGGACUCCAAAAAUGUGCUUGUUUUGUUCCUGUUUUAGGGAAGACACUUUCUGAAAUUACUACUUCGCUGUUAUUUGUUUGCAGAUCACAAUAAAACUAUGUAUACUAUUCUAGGGAGGCAUACUGAAUAAUGACAUUCAUUAACUGCAAACUUAUUGUUGCCCGUAGGUUCAGAGUUAACCAGUAGAGUGUAAUUUUGUGCUUUUAAUGUCUCUGUGCGGAUGAGACGUGUAGGAAGCAAGCCGUGUGGUCGUAAUUCAUUUUGAACUUGUUAAUGCGGAUACAGGUGUCAGUGCAUGACAAAGCUCUUUUAAUAUAUGAAAACUUGGCUUCUGUGUGAUUUUGCGCUAAGAUUGCAUGGAGUCAUGAGACUGCAGGGCUGUGUUUGAUUGAUAAAAGAGUCAAACAUCUCCAGUAAUCACACUGGAUUGCAGUCAUAUGAAAUGAAUGCAGUAUGACUGAUCAGCCCCCAUAAAUC
This is a long non-coding RNA of Corythoichthys intestinalis (scribbled pipefish), 1096 nucleotides long. RefSeq lists it as uncharacterized. The transcript has 3 exons. The record is from RefSeq and is a predicted model, not a curated record. Lineage: Eukaryota; Metazoa; Chordata; Actinopteri; Syngnathiformes; Syngnathidae.